This 460-nucleotide ribosomal RNA is filed under the name uncultured bacterium. RNAcentral's name for it is "partial 16S ribosomal RNA". It matches the Rfam family "Bacterial small subunit ribosomal RNA", at positions 338 to 795 of the family's 1533-position model. The record is from RNAcentral.
CCUACGGGAGACAGCAGUGAGGAAUAUUGGUCAAUGGGCGCGAGCCUGAACCAGCCAAGUAGCGUGAAGGAUGACUGCCCUACGGGUUGUAAACUUCUUUUAUAAAGGAAUAAAGUGAGGCACGUGUGCCUUUUUGUAUGUACUUUAUGAAUAAGGAUCGGCUAACUCCGUGCCAGCAGCCGCGGUAAUACGGAGGAUCCGAGCGUUAUCCGGAUUUAUUGGGUUUAAAGGGAGCGUAGAUGGGUUGUUAAGUCAGUGGUGAAAGUUUGCGGCUCAACCGUAAUAUUGCAAUUGAUACUGGCAGCCUUGAGUACAGUUGAGGCAGGCGGAAUUCGUGGUGGAGCGGUGAAAUGCUUAGAUAUCACGAAGAACUCCGAUUGCGAAGGCAGCUUACUAAACUGCCACUGACAUUGAUGCUCGAAAGUGUGGGUAUCAAACAGGAUUAGAUACCCUAGUAGUC